This 631-nucleotide long non-coding RNA is filed under the name Neogale vison (American mink). Its description in RNAcentral is "Neovison vison (American mink) lncRNA (ENSNVIG00000016594.1)". The record is from RNAcentral. Lineage: Eukaryota; Metazoa; Chordata; Mammalia; Carnivora; Mustelidae.
GCGCACAUGUGGCAUUACAAAUGGCAACUGUGCCCUGCUUUCUCGUCGCCCUCUGAACUGUCGUAAUAGUGAGGAGGAGAGCUGCUGUGUGCCACGCUGUAGGUGGAUUCCUUCACUGAAUCUUCAUAAUGACUCUUGGAGCAAAUCUUUUGGGGACACCCCGCCCCCCUCUGCCCACUCCCUAAGAUGACGCAGCUGUAGAGGCGGGUGGAGGAGAUUGGAGUCUCCAGCCCUGCCUAUUGCCCGGGCUGUGCUCAGAGGUACCGAUGCUCCUGAGAAGCCAGUUCCUGUUUACCCUACCGUUAUCAAGCCCAGAAACUUCCCAGUUACACCAAAUCAUGCAAAAUGAUGAAGACUGUCAUCCUCCCUUGUUGACAAUGGAAAGAAGCCAUUCAAUAACUGGGAGAUGAAACAGGAAGCUCUAUGACACAGUUGAUCGAAAAUGACACAGACACAGAAAAAUCAGGACUCGGCCCCCUCCAGUGCCUCUACCUGCUGCCCACAGCCGGAGUGCAGAUGGCAAAGUAAGAAGCAGAAGGGGAAAGGACUUGGCUGCCAGCAGCUUCCCCAUCCUUUAUGGAUUGGAUCUGUAAAGGAGACUCUCAGGUGGGUACGAACAACACCUAUUGUC